Molecule: long non-coding RNA, 521 nt
Filed under: Selaginella moellendorffii
Lineage: Eukaryota; Viridiplantae; Streptophyta; Lycopodiopsida; Selaginellales; Selaginellaceae
Description: long non-coding RNA (SMOE_LNC000279)
Source: RNAcentral
ACGGUUCCAUCGGUUUACAGGGAUGUGAGCUACAGCAGCUUGAGCGCUGGACAGGGUCACGUCUGCGCUCUAAGAAGCAGUGGAAAACUCGACUGCUGGGGACAAAACACGUAUGGGCAGCUAAACUUUCCGCAAGCUCGCAGCUUUAUCCAAGUGAGCUCUGGAUAUGACUACACCUGCGGGCUCGUCGAGGGUGGCGAGGCUCUUGGGAUCGUUCCACCGCUGUUUUCUCCCGCGCACAGCCGAAAUCGCCUUUAGUGUUUUGUGAACGCACACUUGCGGACUGGAAAAGGACACUGGGACUGUGGACGACCAACGGCUUUAAAAGCGAAGACCGGCAUUUAAAUCGCUACUCCUAUUUGGUAAGCAAAUUAAAGCUAAUUUACUACUAAUUCACGCACCAACCGUCCGGGUCAACUCUAAAGUCAACAAUGUUGACUUUUAAAACAUUGUCUGUUGAUGCGUAAAAUAUUCUUAUUAUAUUGUUGUACACUUCUUUUAAGUUCUAUUCGAUGUCGUAG